GGUCGUAUAGCCUAGUCGGUAGAGCGCAGUGCUAAUAAACGCUGUGGUCCUGGUUGAGCCCCAGUAUGACCA
Molecule: transfer RNA, 72 nt
Filed under: Pythium insidiosum
Lineage: Eukaryota; Oomycota; Peronosporomycetes; Pythiales; Pythiaceae
Description: tRNA-Ile
Source: RNAcentral